CUUUGACAAGUACUGUUCUGAUACUUUUUAUAAAUUUGAAAAAAAAGUUUACAUUCUAAUAUUAAGUGCAAAAGCAAGCUACUAAAUGUCAUAAACUAUAAAAUCAUGAUUAUGGUAACAUGUAUUUAAGAAACAGGCAGGAAAUCUAUUAAAAUAUUAACCUAUCAACUAAAAGAGUAAUCUUGGGGAGGGAGACUUACAGUUUUUAUAUUUAUUUUGCUUCCUAUAUUUUCUAGUUUUUCUACAAUGAACAUGUAUUGCCUUUAUAGUUCAGCAAAUUUACUUUUCUUUUUUCUUUUGGUUAAGCAGUCUCAGAAGGAAUCAUUUUCUUUCCACCUACAAUGUUAGAUCCACCUGAAUGAAAUACGCCUUUCAUUGCGUCCUGAGAAGACGGAAGAAUCAUAAAAAGCCUUCAGAAGCCCUUGAGGAAUUUUGAGGGCAGUAAAAGCAAAGACUGUAAACCGAAGAAAAAUACACAAAGAUGUAAGAGCAGUAAGAGCAAAGUGGGGACAAGGGAUAUUGAGUAUCUGAAGGGAAAAAUAAGAAGCAUAGCCUAUCCUGGAAAAGAAAAGAAACGUCAUGGUAAAAAAACAACUGCGGUUUUUGUGAACACCUACUACGGUAAGGAACAGGCCAGCCAUAGCCCACACCCAGGUGGCUGACAAGAGCUCGCCAGAUCACAGGGCCACCUUCCUGCCUGAGAGCUGGAUGCCCUCUGCAUCUUCCUGGGCUUUACAGCACAUGGGAUCUGUUUACAUGUGGUCUCCGCAGACUCGUGUCAAGAUCCUAAGUCAGUGAAUCCCGAGGGAAGCAAAAGGCAGGGGUGGAAGCAUGGUAAGGAGGUGUAAACACCCUUUUGUAAGCCCCAUGGAGGGGUAUAGGCUUCAACAGGGAGCAGUUUAAGAUACUUUGGAGAUUGACUGUUUGGGGUUAAGUGUUGGCUCCACUACUUAUACUCAUGUGGUUUUAGAUGCUUUUCUUAAUCUCUCUGUGCUCUGGUUUCUGUAAAAUAGUAAUAAGUAUCCUAUUUAGUUAUUUUGAGGACUAAAUAGAUAAUUCCAGCCCUCCAUAUCCCUGGGUUUCUCAUUUGUAAAUUCAACCAACUGUGGGCCAAAAAUAUAUGGAAAAAAAUGGAACGUGUACUCAACAUGUACAGACAUUUUUCUUGUCAUUAUUCUCUAAGCAAUGUAGUAUUCAGCACUAUUUACAUAGCAUUUGCAGUAUAUUAGGUAUUAUAAGUAGCCUAGAGAUAAUUUAAAGGAUGUGGGAAGAUGUAUGUAGGUUACAUGCAAAUAGUACACCAUUUUAUAUAAGGGACUUGAGAAUUUUGGUAACUGAAGGGGCUCCUGGAACCAAUUUCCCAUAGAUACAGAAAAAUGACUGCAUAUGUAAAAGACUUAGCAGUGAGCCUUUUAUAAAUGGUUGCAUUAGUAUUAAUAAAGAAGUAAAUAACACCUAUAAAUAGUUACCCAGGGUUUCCCGGAUUACAGCUGCUAUGGUCUGAAUGUUUAAGUGCUCCCAGAAUUUAUAUGUUGAAACCUAGUCACCAGUGCUAUAAUAUUAAGAAAUGGGGCUUUGGGAGGUGAUUGGGAAUGGCAUUAAUAGCACAGGAACAGAAAACCAAACAUGUUCUCAUUUGUAAGUGGGAGCUGAACAAUGAGAACACAUGGACACAGGGAGGGGAACAACACAUACUGGGGCCUGUCAUGGGGAGGGGAGGAGGGAGGAACAGCAUUAGGAAAAAUAGCUAAUGCAUGCUGGGCUUAAUAUUUUGGUGAUGGGUCUAUAGGUGUAGCAAACCACCAUGGCACAUGUUUACCUAUGUAACAAACCUGCACAUUCUGAACAUGGACCUCGGAACUUAAAAAAAGAAGAUAAAAGGCUUGAGCGAGCCUGUUUGCCCCUUCCACCAUGCGAGGACACAUACAAGGCACCAUCUAUGAGGAACGAGCUCCCAACGAGCUCCCAACAGAUGCUGAUUUUGCUGGUGUCUCGAUCUUGGACAACCUCCAGAAUUGUCUAUGAGUCAGCUAUGACUCUGUGGUGCUUUGCUGGCCUCAGCUGGACUUGGCUUCAGGCUGUAGGUUGGGUUCAUAUCUGAUCAAUGGGGCUCUCAUUCUGAGACUCAGGCUGAAGGCCACCUGAAUUCUACUCUUCUCACAGUGAAUGAGAAGCUCAUAAGAGUACAUGAGGACAGUAGGAAACUUGCCAUGUGUCUUAAAGCCUCACCUUGGAACAUGCUGUCUCCUCCAUCUAUGUUCUAUUGCUCAAAGCAAGUUAUAUGGCCAAGUCCAAUGCCAGUGGGAUGGAAAGUACACUCUGUUCACAGGACAGUCACAGCAGUGGCAAAGCGGGAAGGAGGAAUCAUGGACAAAUAAUAAAUACUAUUUAUAUACUACAAGGAUCUAUAAAAAUAACAAAAGAAUGAGCUGAGAAGGACUGAACUCACAUUAUGGCACAGACUUAGAACAGUUUAGCAAACAAUAAACUGCAAUUGCAUCGUGUUUGUGUAUUCUAAACUCACAACCCAAACCCCUUCAAAAUCUAGUCAGACAAAACCAGCAAAUUAUCCGUAAAGAUGCAUGUGCACAUGUACCCAGAGGACUUAUGGUGCAAAGCGCAUACCCAGCAUUAACCAUGACACCCUUCUAGUCUUGCUUACAAAACCCCUCUCACCAAGGCUCUGGAGAAACCCUAGCCAGAAAAGGCAAGAAGAAAAGGCCUGGGUCAGUUCCCAGCUCACUUAUAAACCUUCCUGAUCCAGACAGUGCUUGGAUCAGAGCUGAUCUGCCCCUGAUGAGGAAUUUUUAAGUCUCUCUCUGCUAUUGUUUUCAGUUGAGCGCAAUCAUCAACUGAACACCUUUUAUGCUGGUCCUUUCUGUCAUUUUUGGCUACUGCACACAUAUAUACAUAUUCAGGGAUGUCAAGUGGGGAAUUUCUCUUUCAAAUGUUCAAUACAUAAAUAAUUACAUAAAACAGUGAAUGAGUAUCUGCAAAAGAACCUGCUGUGGAAGCCAAGGGACUACAGGUGGGAGACAAAUGAAUUCUGACUAGCACUUUCAGAUGAUUUCCUCACACUCAGCAGUCCUUUAUCUGUGAUUACUUCCUGUGUCCUGCUAUCACUUUCCUGCUCCUCCCCUACUUUUUUAUCUGCCCCAAAGCUAGAGUUUGAAAUUGUCUAAUAAUUUCAUUCACUUAUACUUACAUUACUAUUUACCAUCUAAAUGAGUUAAUUGGCUCCACUUGGAACACUGACAUUCUCUUUCAGUUCCCUUUUUUUUUUUUUUUUCUGGGCAAAAUCAUUUGCUAGCUUUAUCCUUAUGGGUUGAAAAGGCACAUAUUCCACCCUGGGAGGAGGCCAUUUCCUGUUCAUGGAACCUGCCCGUCCUGAGUGUUCACUGGAGAGGCGGUGGACUCACCCCCUUCUCAGUUCAAGGACAUACUCGGGCUACUUCUUUUCCAGCUGGUAGAUACACAGGAAGAUACUGCAUCUCAUGGACUAAUGGACUUUCAAGUCAGCUUGGGGGGGUCACAUCUGUUUUAUGCAAGCAGACAAGGUGAAUUAUUGAACUAACAGCUUUCUCAG
This 3586-nucleotide long non-coding RNA is filed under the name Homo sapiens (human). Its description in RNAcentral is "HSALNT0121027". Lineage: Eukaryota; Metazoa; Chordata; Mammalia; Primates; Hominidae. The record is from RNAcentral.